CCUACGGGAGGCAGCAGUAGGGAAUAUUGCUCAAUGGGGGAAACCCUGAAGCAGCAACGCCGCGUGGAGGAUGAAGGCUUUCGGAUUGUAAACUUCUUUUGUUAGAGAAGAGAAUGACGCUAUCUAACGCAUAUGCACCGGCUAACACUGGGCCAGCAGCCGCGGUAAUAUGGAGGGUGCAAGCGUUAUUCGGAGUCACUGGGCGUAAAGAGGGCGUAGACGGGUUAGCAAGUCAGAUGUGAAAUCCUGUGGCUUAACCAUAGAACUGCAUUUGAAACUGUGCUUCUAGAGUACAGGAGAGGCAGGUGGAAUUCUUGGUGUAGCGGUGAAAUGCGUAGAUAUCAGGAGGAAUACUGAUUGCGAAGGCGGCCUGCUAGACAGUAACUGACGUUGAGGCGCGAAAGCGUGGGGAGCAAACAGGAUUAGAUACCCGAGUAGUC
Molecule: ribosomal RNA, 440 nt
Filed under: uncultured bacterium
Lineage: Bacteria
Description: partial 16S ribosomal RNA
Rfam family: Bacterial small subunit ribosomal RNA
Source: RNAcentral